This 422-nucleotide ribosomal RNA is filed under the name uncultured soil bacterium. RNAcentral's name for it is "bacterial SSU rRNA". It matches the Rfam family "Bacterial small subunit ribosomal RNA", at positions 26 to 451 of the family's 1533-position model. The record is from RNAcentral.
AGAUUGAACGCUGGCGGCAUGCCUAACACAUGCAAGUCGAACGGCAGCGCGGGGGCAACCCUGGCGGCGAGUGGCGGACGGGUGAGGAAUACAUAGGAAUCUACCCUGUCGUGGGGGAUAACGUAGGGAAACUUACGCUAAUACCGCAUACGACCGAGAGGUGAAAGCGGCGGACCGCAAGGCGUCGCGCGGCUGGAUGAGCCUAUGUCCGAUUAGCUAGUUGGUGGGGUAAGAGCCCACCAAGGCGACGAUCGGUAGCUGGUCUGAGAGGAUGAUCAGCCACAUUGGGACUGAGACACGGCCCAGACUCCUACGGGAGCAGCAGUGGGAAUAUUGCGCAAUGGGGGAAACCCUGACGCAGCGACGCCGCGUGCGGGAUGACGGCCUUCGGGUUGUAAACCGCGUGUCGCGAGGGACGAAGA